This 253-nucleotide ribosomal RNA is filed under the name uncultured bacterium. RNAcentral describes it as "partial 16S ribosomal RNA". It matches the Rfam family "Bacterial small subunit ribosomal RNA", at positions 524 to 776 of the family's 1533-position model. The record is from RNAcentral.
UACGGGGGGGGCAAGCGUUGUUCGGAAUUACUGGGCGUAAAGGGCGUGUAGGCGGCCAACUAAGUCCGACGUGAAAUCCCCAGGCUUAACCUGGGAACUGCGUCGGAUACUGGAUGGCUUGAAUCCGGGAGAGGGAUGCAGAAUUCCAGGUGUAGCGGUGAAAUGCGUAGAUAUCUGGAGGAAUACCGGUGGCGAAGGCGGCAUCCUGGACCGGCAUUGACGCUGAGGAGCGAAAGCCAGGGGAGCAAACGGG